Lutra lutra (Eurasian river otter) is the source of this 792-nucleotide long non-coding RNA. RefSeq lists it as uncharacterized. The record is from RefSeq and is a predicted model, not a curated record. The transcript has 3 exons. Lineage: Eukaryota; Metazoa; Chordata; Mammalia; Carnivora; Mustelidae.
CACCCCACAGCCGCUCAGGGCUCGCGGCCGCGCCGCGCAGCCCGCACAGACCCGCAGCCCGGCGGGGUCCGAGGAGGGCCCAGGCCCGGCGGGGCCCAGCGCGGACUGGAAGAUUAUUAAGACACCCCCAGCAUACAGAGCCCACCGGGAGAAGUGCAGGCGUGCUCAGACCCUGCUCUAACGUCCUGAGAGGUGGAAUGGGCCCAAGCUCUUGCCCGAUGGACGGCUCUCCAAGUAUGUCCUACUGGGAUCCUUCUAACCAGUGAAUUAUUCUCCACCCAGUGAUUCUUCCCGACUGAGGCCAAGAGAUUUCUGGAGCCUCUUGUCAUGGGUCAGCAACAUCCCCUGAGUGACCCCGAAGUGGGGGUUUCUAAGUCCGUCAGGCAAAGACAAAGCAGAUGAGCCUAGCUCUGGGGAGAAGCACAAGAGUGUGCCCACCAUGGCUGUGCCCAGAUGCUGAGGGCUGGCCAGACUGCGGCCAGCUGGAAUUCUAGAAUUUGUACUUGGUGUGAGUCAUACCAAAACUGCCCAGGUGAAGAGCUCCCCCUGAAGACAGCUGGUCUACCUGUGGGCCAGGUGGCCCAUUCCUGUUGCCUUGCAAAUGACCACAGCCUGUCAGGGCAAGUGAGGGUCACAGACUGGAGCCAAAGGAAGUCAGGCGCCUCAUAGGAGGAUAAGCAAGUGAACCCAGUCAAGAAGGUCACUCUGUGGAGCUGGCAAGGUUCCCUGAUGGUGACCAGUGGCCAUGGCGGAGUGUGGAGGUGAAGUUACAGAUUUUCCUUAGCAGAGCUG